RNAcentral lists this long non-coding RNA (2477 nucleotides) under Sarcophilus harrisii (Tasmanian devil). RNAcentral describes it as "lncRNA (ENSSHAG00000021215.1)". Lineage: Eukaryota; Metazoa; Chordata; Mammalia; Dasyuromorphia; Dasyuridae. The record is from RNAcentral.
AGGCAUUCUACAAAUUUUCUUUACUGUUUCAGUGUUAAUAUAGUUUGGUUUUUUUUUUUUUUUUUUAAGUCAAUUUUGGAAUUCACUUAAACCUCCAAUCAUGAUGCCAUGGAUGAAAAUUCUCAGAAAAUAUGACACCCUUUUAAACCUUUGACUGGCUUUCAUAGAAUUUUUACACUCCCAAAAAGGGUGAUAUUUGUUAUCUACACAAGUUUAUUCAUGUUAACUCUUUGUUAUUGAAAAAUUUGGUCAAAAACCAUAAAGAAGUAUUCUUUUUUGAGGAGGGGAAUGGGGGAAGAUGGGGCAAUCUUUUCAAAUUAUAAUUGUGCUAGAUCUUGGUUACCAAAGCAGUGUCAGGAUUUGAAGAUGGAAAAAUCAUACUUUGUAUAUUGGAAGUUGGCACCAUUGUGGUCACUGCACUAUUUUCCCCUGUUUCAAGUUAACAUUUAAUUCUUGGUGGUUUUUAUUUUUAAUUUUAUUUUGCUAUUGUCUUUCCUUUGAUAAGUGUCUUCUACUUGUCUGCAGUUAUUGAAUCUUCUAGUGAGCUAUUUUUACUUGACCAUAUGGGAGUUUUUAUCUGGUUUAAAUAUACUAGCUUAAUACGUUACUUUUUUCCACCAUCUCUUUUCCUUUACAUGGAGACUUCUUUUAGACAAAAAACAAAACAGAUCUAUAUUUUGAUAAUAAGAAUUUCUGCCAUAAUGGUCAAGAUUCUCUGCUCUUUUAGGAAUGCCUAGACUUUUUUUCAUUCAUCUUGUCAUUUUGUUCUGAAGACUCCACAGUUUAAGUGCAUGUUAACAUGAAAUAAUUUGUCCGUUAAUCUUUUUUGCAUCAACUCUUACCUCAUCACUUGUCAUCUGUGGAUUUUGAAACAGUAGUGCAUGUAACCUGAGAGCCUUGUCUAAUUUAAAUAUAAAAUGUUUUCUCCACUUUCUUGAUUAGCAAUGUGUGUGUGUGUAUGUGUGUAUGAUGGUAGCAGUAUUUAUGUCAACAGAAGUCACUGGAUGGAUUGGGUCAUCUAAUUGUUCAAGUUAUCUAUCUCAAAUGAUCCAUAGACAUUUUGGCUUUCUGUGUGCUUUCUUAUUAUUGUUGGAUUCUAUCAGUCUUUCAUUAACAAGAUAGAUUUUUAGAUGAGCAAACAAUCUCUUGCAUAUUCUUUUGCUUUAACAUUGCAUUCUUUUAUCCUUUUGUGCUUAUGUUAAUAUUUAUGUCCAUCAGUACUGUUUCAUAUUUCUAGGAUUUGUUUAAGUCUAAUUCAUUUCAUGAAGUGGAAUAUUUUUAGCUCAUACCUCAGUAAAGCACAACUUGAUGAAAAUGAAGUUUUUCCUAAAAGAAAAAUAUUCCUGAAGCUCACAGUUCCAGGAAGUAUAGUUGUCAGUCACCAAGUACUGCUAUAAGUGUUUGUUGAAAUAGCAUUUAAAGGAGUUUAUGAAUAGGUCGGUAAUAAAACAAAUCAACUUUCAGUUUAGGAAUUUGUGUGUUUUUGAAACAAGGUGAAAGUCAAAUUUCUUCUCUCCAAAUAGAGUAGUGAUAGGGAGAAGAAUAAAGCAUCUUGGUGGACAUUGAGAAAUCUUUGCCUGGGUGAAAUAGGUUGAAAAUGUAAAAGAACUUGAGGAUUUUAUAUAGGUGAACAUUUCUUUCCUAGGACUAACUUAACAUACUUCAAAGUCAAAGAUAGUGAUUCUCUGAUGGUAUAUUGGAGGAAGAACAAACUCUGGAGAAGUUCAAGAAAUUGAGCCAUUAUGUGUAACAAAUCUGUCUUCCAUUGUUCUCAAACUAGAAUGCUGUAGGAGAGCCUAGCCUUUUAAAAUUGGCUUCAGUUUUUUGUUACUGUUGUUUUGUCUUAGCUCUUGAACUUUACAAUGUUGGGUUUUGGUUUUUAAUUUUUUAUUUUCCCCCAUUUUUUUGGACUCAUUGAUAAAACUGCUACUUGUUUUUUUUUUUUUUUUCCCUGUCCAAACUUAAUGACAUUCCUCUGGUAGGUAAAGAAUUUGUUAUGAUUGUAACAAUUGUGCAAUAUUUUAAUAUGUGUGAACAAAUUUGCCUUUCUUCUUAUCUAAUCCAGGAAGUAAAAUUUUAAGGUGCAGUCUCCCUUUUUGAAAUUAGAGUAUUAGACACCUCACUUGCAAAUGUUUGUUGUUGCUCAAGGGGAAAAUUUGAAAGAAUUCUCAGUGCUAGUCAAAAGGUGUAUUCCAAAACCAGUUUCCAGAAUGCUAUAACAGGGUGUUCUAAUGUGACCUUCAUUGUAUAUCAAAGAAAACAAUUCUUCCUCUGUGUCAGUUGCAGAUAAUUUUAUAGCAUGCCAUCCAAGAUAAGGGGAGACUGUAUCUUCAAUUUUCUUGGUCUGUUUUUGUGGUGUUUUAAGGAUUUGGAAAUUUUGGUGAUGUUAUUCUGUUCUAUAAAAAUGGUAUUGGACUUAAACUGCCAUGUCAUCCUUUAAAUGAGCAUUACAAUAAAGCAAAGAGAAGUAGAUGCAA